CUAGAAACUGGAGAUACAAUGGUGAACCAGGCCCAUGGCUGCUUGAAUGAAUGGCUUUAACCAUCUAUUAAUAUAGCUGCUGUAGGAAGCAAGUGACAGUAACCACAGCUUUAGAAAAGAGGCCACAGCUCCACCCAGAAUUCUCGAGAGUUUUCCACACUUCUUGACAAUGAAUGUUCAGACUCAAAAGAAUACAUUGCGACUGGCACAGCAAGCAGCAUGAACAUCACAGUCGCCAGGGUCCCCUUGCUUCCCGAGUCCUCCAGCAGUGCCAGUGAGCCAUCCAGGGAAAACUACCGCUGUCUUCCACGGCAGUUUGCUGUGUGACCGUCCCAGCAGAGGGUGCGCAGAGCAGAAUUUGUUUUGGCCCAGGAGAUACAGAAACACAAGGGCCCUGUACGGAACAGUCCAGCGGUGCUUCCUGUGUGCCCUGCGCUAUUGUAUAAACCCUGCAGUCUCCUGGGAGGUGUUUGGAGUCUCCUGGAAUUGAAUUGCAUGCAGGAGAAGAAACUGUGCUUCCUGAGCAGGUCCCGUGUGCCCAGUGCUGCCCUAUAGCAGGGACACAGAUGGGUGUCUUUCCUUUCUGCCCUCUCCGUGCUCUGGGCGGGCUACCAAGUCCAUGUCAAUUACUACCAGGAGUGAGGGAGUUUUUUUACACUAGUUCUGUUAUUGUAACCUUUCCUAGUUUUAUUAAUCUCUUUAAUU
Long non-coding RNA from Heterocephalus glaber (naked mole-rat), 705 nucleotides. RefSeq lists it as uncharacterized. The record is from RefSeq and is a predicted model, not a curated record. Lineage: Eukaryota; Metazoa; Chordata; Mammalia; Rodentia; Bathyergidae.